GAUGAAGAACGCAGCGAAAUGCGAUAAGUAAUGUGAAUUGCAGAAUUCAGUGAAUCAUCGAAUUUUUGAACGCACCUUGCGCCCCUUGGUAUUCCGAGGAGCAUGCCUGUUUGAGUGUCAGUAAAUUCUCAAACCCUUCCAGCUUUUUUAGUUGGCUCUGGGUCUUGGAUGUGGAGGUGUUGCAGGCCUUUUUGAGGUCAGCUCCCCUGAAAUGCAUUAGCAGAACCGUUUGCAAUUCAUCACAGGUGUGAUAAUUAUCUACGCCAGUGGGUUGCUCUCUGUCACUGUUCAGCUUACAAUUGUCCCAUUCUUGUGGACCAACUAUUGCUGAUUCUUUGACCUCAAAUCAGGUAGGACUACCCGCUGAACUUAAGCAUAUCAAUAAGCGGAGGA
This 393-nucleotide unclassified non-coding RNA is filed under the name soil metagenome. RNAcentral's name for it is "partial contains 5.8S ribosomal RNA, internal transcribed spacer 2, and large subunit ribosomal RNA". The stretch from base 1 to 120 matches the Rfam family "5.8S ribosomal RNA", at positions 35 to 154 of the family's 154-position model. The record is from RNAcentral.